Long non-coding RNA from Daphnia magna, 1266 nucleotides. RefSeq lists it as uncharacterized. The record is from RefSeq and is a predicted model, not a curated record. Lineage: Eukaryota; Metazoa; Arthropoda; Branchiopoda; Diplostraca; Daphniidae. The transcript is spliced from 2 exons.
GGUUACAAAAUCUAUCGCUAACAAAAAAAAAACAAAACAAAAAAAAGAAAAGGAAAGAAAUAAGACGGCGAAAAAGUUACAGACAUUCGAGUUCAGGUCGAAUGACCACGAAGCUUGCCGACGAUAAUAUGAAACCUCAGUUUGCGUCACGUUUCAAAGACAAGGGCCCACGAAGGCUGGAAAGCGGAUAAAACAAAAAAAAAGAGGAAAAAGAAGUGGAGGAAUAGACAAGGCAAAAGUGGAGAAAAGGUGACCAAAGUUGAUAUGCUACACCGCGCGUUCAACUAUCUGGCUAUAGCUGACUAUAGAGACAUUCCCGCUAUUACAGUAGUUUUGAUGUCGAUCGUUUGUUUUGUGACCCAGAUGAGGAAUGCGCCAGGUGUCUAUUGCCUCUUGUAUCCUACCCAACUUCUUCAUUCUGUCAUCCUAUAUCUGUCUGGCUGUCGAAAAGUUGGAAGAAUCCAACUAGCCAGCAACAAGUGACAGAGAAAGAGACAAAAGAGCACAACGAAAAUAGAAGACGAGAGAAGUACGGAGAAGAAUUUUUGUUAAAAAAGCCGGAAACAAGCCAAGCUUGACGAAGAAAAAUGCCAACGAGAGAGAACAGAGACAAAGAUAGUGUUGAAGUGUAGCGCAUCGAAUGUCGGACAAAAAGGGGGAAGGCGGUAGCGUGUGACCGGUUGUAUACCCGACAUUUUGUGUCCAGCCCAACUAGCUAACCUCCGUCCCUUCUGAAAGGCUCCUCUAUCAUUCAUUCUUUUCUCGAUCUCGACACGAUACGUCAAGUCAUCAACUUCUUUUCCAAGUAUUCUUAUUAGCUGGUUCGUUAUUUUCUAUUCUAGUCCUCCUUUUUCUUUCUUUUUUUCAACCCUCGUACACCUCGUCCAUCCACACUGACACCGGAUGUGUAAGGGACGGCAAAAUUCAAUCGAGUUUCACCUUGUCAUUUGUACCAGGUCAAACAGUGCAGGUGCAACAUAACAAGCCAACAGAGACAUAAAAAGAAACGAAAAACUGUAAAACAACCAAAAACAACGUUUAAACUACUUUUAACUGGCAUUAUGUUGAAAACGCUGCUUGACUCUUUUGCCCCCUUUAUCCAAUACUGCUAACCACCAUGGUGGCAUGCGGGAAUGAAUGAAAAAGAAAAAAUCCCAAUGAAAAUGGGUACAACAAUUAUUCAAUGUGUGCGUGUGUUUUUUUUUUUUUCAUUUUUUCAUCUGUUUCUUCGAGACUUGCAACCCUAAUUAAAUGAUUGGUAACGCA